GCAUAUCAAUAAGCGGAGGAAAAGAAACCAACAGGGAUUGCCCUAGUAACGGCGAGUGAAGCGGCAACAGCUCAAAUUUGAAAUCUGGCCCUCGGGUCCGAGUUGUAAUUUGUAGAGGAUGCUUUUGGUGAGGUGCCUUCCGAGUUCCCUGGAACGGGACGCCAUAGAGGGUGAGAGCCCCGUCUGGUUGGAUACCGAGCCUCUGUAAAGCUCCUUCGACGAGUCGAGUAGUUUGGGAAUGCUGCUCUAAAUGGGAGGUAUAUGUCUUCUAAAGCUAAAUACCGGCCAGAGACCGAUAGCGCACAAGUAGAGUGAUCGAAAGAUGAAAAGCACUUUGAAAAGAGAGUUAAAAAGUACGUGAAAUUGUUGAAAGGGAAGCGCUUAUGACCAGACUUGGGCUUGGUUGAUCAUCCUGGGUUCUCCCUGGUGCACUCUUCCAGUUCAGGCCAGCAUCAGUUCGCUGCGGGGGAUAAAAGUUUUGGGAAUGUGGCUCCCUCGGGAGUGUUAUAGCCCAUUGCAUAAUACCCUGCUCCGGACUGAGGUUCGCGCAUCUGCAAGGAUGCUGGCGUAAUGGUCAUCAGCGACCCGUCUUGAAACACGGACCAAGGAGUCGUCUUCGUAUGCGAGUGUUCGGGUGUUAAACCCCUACGCGUAAUGAAAGUGAACGCAGGUGAGAGCUUCGGCGCAUCAUCGACCGAUCCUGAUGUUCUCGGAUGGAUUUGAGUAAGAGCAUACGGGGCCGGACCCGAAAGAAGGUGAACUAUGCCUGUAUAGGGUGAAGCCAGAGGAAACUCUGGUGGAGGCUCGCAGCGGUUCUGACGUGCAAAUCGAUCGUCAAAUAUGGGCAUGGGGGGCGAAAGACUAAUCGAACCUUCUAGUAGCUGGUUUCCGCGA
RNAcentral lists this ribosomal RNA (894 nucleotides) under Calonectria colhounii. RNAcentral's name for it is "LSU rRNA". It matches the Rfam family "Eukaryotic large subunit ribosomal RNA", at positions 38 to 963 of the family's 3401-position model. The record is from RNAcentral. Lineage: Eukaryota; Fungi; Ascomycota; Sordariomycetes; Hypocreales; Nectriaceae.